AAGUCGUAACAAGGUAACCGUAGGUGAACCCGCGGUUGGAUCAUUAUUAAUGAUUGACUAGUGGGUUUGAGGAUCGUUUGAUUCUCGCCCGCUGGCAACAACCACUGUGCACAAUAAUAGUAUUUGGGUGAGGAUGGUAAAGUUUCGUGCUUCUCUAUGAUACACCCGCCAAUAUAAACCUUCUAUUUCAUUUGUCUGAUCUUUGUUUCUAAAUGAAUCAAAUACAA
RNAcentral lists this unclassified non-coding RNA (227 nucleotides) under plant metagenome. RNAcentral describes it as "partial contains small subunit ribosomal RNA and internal transcribed spacer 1". The stretch from base 1 to 46 matches the Rfam family "Eukaryotic small subunit ribosomal RNA", at positions 1786 to 1831 of the family's 1831-position model. The record is from RNAcentral.